Molecule: ribosomal RNA, 253 nt
Filed under: uncultured bacterium
Lineage: Bacteria
Also listed under: 2 other names
Description: partial 16S ribosomal RNA
Rfam family: Bacterial small subunit ribosomal RNA
Source: RNAcentral
UACGAAGGGGGCUAGCGUUGCUCGGAAUCACUGGGCGUAAAGCGCACGUAGGCGGAUUGCUAAGUCAGGGGUGAAAUCCUGGAGCUCAACUCCAGAACUGCCUUUGAUACUGGCGAUCUCGAGUCCGGGAGAGGUGAGUGGAACUGCGAGUGUAGAGGUGAAAUUCGUAGAUAUUCGCAAGAACACCAGUGGCGAAGGCGGCUCACUGGCCCGGUACUGACGCUGAGGUGCGAAAGCGUGGGGAGCAAACAGG